Molecule: microRNA precursor, 94 nt
Filed under: Nicotiana sylvestris (wood tobacco)
Lineage: Eukaryota; Viridiplantae; Streptophyta; Magnoliopsida; Solanales; Solanaceae
Also listed under: 1 other name
Description: MIR6152 microRNA precursor family
Rfam family: MIR6152 microRNA precursor family
Source: Rfam by way of RNAcentral
UAGACAGAUUAUUGUAUUCGACUUUAUUCACGACGUGAAACAGGGGAUUAUACUGUUUUUAAGGAAAGUGAAUCAAUUAACAUAAUAGACUCCU